UAACCGGGACAGGUGAUCGCGGCUGCGCGAAAGCGCAGGUGAGGAAAGUCCGGGCUUCACAGGGCAGGAUGCCGGAUAACGUCCGGUGGAGGUGACUCCCAGGCCAGUGCAACAGAAAUAAACCGCCAGCGUAAGCUGGUAAGGGUGGAAAGGUAGUGUAAGAGACUACCGCCUCGACGGUAACGGCGAGGGCACAUGUAAACCCCAUCCGAAGCAAGACCAAACAGAGAGCGUAAGGCGGCCCGUCUGCUCUCGGGUAGGUCGCUUGAAUCUGGCGGCGACGUCAGAUCUAGACAGAUGAUCAUCCAACGACAGAACCCGGCUUAUCGGCCCGGUUACCUG
RNAcentral lists this RNase P RNA (342 nucleotides) under Lachnospiraceae bacterium. RNAcentral describes it as "RNase P RNA component class A". It matches the Rfam family "Bacterial RNase P class A". Rfam says of the family: Ribonuclease P (RNase P) is a ubiquitous endoribonuclease, found in archaea, bacteria and eukarya as well as chloroplasts and mitochondria. Its best characterised activity is the generation of mature 5'-ends of tRNAs by cleaving the 5'-leader elements of precursor-tRNAs. Cellular RNase Ps are ribonucleoproteins. RNAcentral also lists the same sequence under 1 other name. The record is from RNAcentral. Lineage: Bacteria; Bacillati; Bacillota; Clostridia; Lachnospirales; Lachnospiraceae.